RNAcentral lists this long non-coding RNA (442 nucleotides) under Androctonus crassicauda. Lineage: Eukaryota; Metazoa; Arthropoda; Arachnida; Scorpiones; Buthidae. The record is from RNAcentral.
GACUGCUUGACGGAGCCUCUUCGGAGUAGCUAUUUCAGUCGGCCUAUACGUCGUUCAGGCCGUCUGUGGCGCAUGCGCAAGUCGCUUCACACAUCGAUUCCUGCAGGUAAUUUUUUGUUGGCCCUGCGGGCCACCAGAGGCAAACAAACUACAAAUAACGUUUCAACGUUCACUUUACGCCUAAAUUGGAAGGUACUUGAGUUUGUUUGCCUCGGGUGGCCUGCGGCCACAGUCCUCGUCCCUCGGACCCGAGGCCAAACGUCCUCCUCCCUUCGGUCGUCGGACAUGAAAUAUAUAGGUACUCCAGGUAGGGCACAGUCGGGGUCGUGAAUACCGAUCCCGAACCGCCGCCCGCUUGAGUACAUGCGACUAACUACUUUUUAUUUUUUAAUAAACCGCCAAAUCUGUAGCUGCGGUGGCGUUAAUACGUAAGUACCAAUUU